GGGCCCAUGGUUUAGCGGUUAUAACAUCGCCCUUACAAGGCGAGGGUCGCCAGUUCGAAUCUGGCUGGGCCCA
RNAcentral lists this transfer RNA (73 nucleotides) under Candidatus Woesearchaeota archaeon. RNAcentral's name for it is "tRNA-Val". It matches the Rfam family "tRNA". Rfam says of the family: Transfer RNA (tRNA) molecules are approximately 80 nucleotides in length. Their secondary structure includes four short double-helical elements and three loops (D, anti-codon, and T loops). Lineage: Archaea; Nanobdellati; Candidatus Woesearchaeota. The record is from RNAcentral.